GGCAUGCAGCCACUGAAUCCUACCUGCUACAACAACAAAAAGUGACUCUAAAACUAGAGUGGAAAAAUGACACUCUCUGAAAUUAGCUCAAAACAGAAGUUAAAACAAAACGAGGGCUGAGAAGCUCCCUAUCCCUUACAAUUCCCCAAAAAAGAUGUGCAAUUAAAUCACCAUGACACACGAAUGCCAACACAGAUUUAUUGACAAAGAAUCUAGCAAAGUGUGUCUGUCCCAGAGGUGCUCCAAUCGGCAGCCUCUUGAAUCUGCCUCUCCUUCCUGAUUGGUCAGGCUGACUCAGACCCUUUACCAAUCAGCAGCUGGUGACCAUAGUAUCAGCAUCCUCUUACAGUCACACAAUGCUGCGGCCAAAACACUUUGAAGCAGUGCUAUAAGUGCAACGAAACAGCAUUAACAUUGUGCUGCCAAUAUCAAUGAAUCAACAGCAAGUCCUAAAUCCUGAAUUCUGCAGUUAAACCAAUUUUCCAUAAAGAUAUAUACAGUAUAUGCAGUAGUUUUGAUGUACUAGAGUUUCAUUGCUCUCUUUACUAGAGAGCAAUGAAACUUGUUGACUUAAUUUUUCAUCACACAAUAGAGACAGACACAGAUCAGAGAGGACAGUGGCUUCAAAAAAGAAAAAUUCUUAUCCUCAUACAGCUCCUCAUUAAACUCAUGCAACAACUCCUUCACAUUUACUUUUUCAGCACUUACCUGGAGACUUCCCUGUAGGUUCAGCUGGUCUCUUUUUUACUUCAGCUCUUAAACCACCUCUCCCUGUCCUCCACAGUUUGCUUCAUAAAUCUAUCAAUGAGUCCAAUAAAAGAACAGGAGGUAAGGUUAUCAUGAAGAAAGUCAGACACCAGAGGGAGGAGUGUCAUUAUUGCAUAAAUUGUGAUGAUAAAAAUAAGUUAAUGGAUAAAUACCUUUCAAAUUUAAAGUUUGAACCUUUUUCCCCUCCCGCCUCCUCUCCUCUCCUUUCCCCUCCCGUUCCUCUCCUCUCUCCUUCCCUUGGUCUUCCUUUUCUCUCUCUGCAGGAAAAUUUUGAAAAAAAGAAAGUUCAGGUAAAUAUAAAAUACAAAGACAAACCACCAUGUAUGUGAUUCAGUUGAGAAAUAAGAAAUAGUAACAUUGAUAUGAACCUUUUUUCUGAGAGAGUUAAAAAAAUUGGCCAUCCCACCUCCUCUCCUCUCUUUUCUGUCUCUGUCAGUAAAAUUAAAUCAAAGAAAGUACAAGUACCAGAAAAAAAAAACUACAUUUGAUGGGAAUGAUAGAGGUUUGCAUCAACCAAACCAUGAUAAAGUAAACAAGUAUUCAAGUACCUCUUACAGUGACAGUUGAAAUUAUUGGCCCUCCCACCUCCUCUCCUAUCCUUUCCCUCUCCAUCCUUUCCUCUCCUCUCUCCUUCCCUUGAUUUUCAUUUUCUCUAUGCAGGAAAAUUAGAAAAAAAUAAAGUUCAGGUAAAUAUGAAAUACAAAGAUGAACCAGCAUGUAUGUGAUUCAGUGGAAAUAAGAAAGCGUAACAUUGAUAUGAACCUUUUUUUUGUUAGAGUUAAAAAACUUUGGCCCUCCUACCUCCUCUCCUCUUCUUUUCUUUCCUCUUUUUUCUGUCUCUGUUGGUAAAAUUGAAAGAAAGUAUAAGUACCAGAAAAGACUACAUGUGAUGGAAAUGAUAAAGGAUUGCAUCAACUGAACUAUGAUAAAGUAAACAAGUAUUAAUAAGUACCUUUUACAGUGACAGUUGAAAUUAUUGGCCCUCCCACCUCCUCUCCUCUCCUCCUCUACAUGGUCUUCCUUUUCUCUCUCUGCAGGAAAAUUUGGAAAAUCAGAAAGUUCAGGUAAAUAUGAAAAACAAAAGAUGAACCAGCAUUAAUGUGAAUCAGUGGAAAUAAGAAAGAGUGACAUUGAUAUGGACCUUUUUUCUGUGAGAGUUGAAAAACUUUGGCCCUCCCACCUCCUCUCCUCCUUUCUCCUCUAGGUCUUUUCUCUCCUCUUUUUCUAUAAGAAAAGCAGACGAAUAGAAAGUUAAAGUAAAAAAUGCAAAAAGAGAGAAAAACAAAAGACAUUUUAAAACAAGUGGAACAAUGAUAAACCACUAUUGUUAUGUACCUGUUCCUGUGACAGUUUAAAACCUUCUGCCCUCCCACCUCCUCUCCUUCACCUCCUCCUCUCCUCUCUUUUCUGUCUCCAUCUUUAAAGUGAAACCAAGGAAAGUAUAAGUACCAGAAAAAAAAAUAUGUGACGCAAACAACAGGAGGUUUGCAUCAACCAAAUCAUGAUGAAGUAAACCCGCAUCAAUAAGUACCUUUUAAAAUGACAAUAGAAAUCUUUGGCCCUUUUUGCUUUGUCCUUCCCUGAAAAAUAAACAGUUCAAAUCUUCACAAAAAACUCAAACAUAGGCUAAAUAUUCUGCAGUAUGUUAUAAAAUAUUAAACACUUACCUUUUAAAUAGAAUGAAUACCACUCACCUCCUUACCUCUGUUUUCCUUUGUUAUAACUCCUCGUCACCUUUGACCUCUUACCUGCUUUGGUUUCCUGAGUCCACUUUUAUGUCUUGUCUCCCCCAUCAAACUAACUAAACUAAAAACUAAUCUCCCUCUUCACAGACACACACGUUUUUUUUUUAAACUUUUGACAACUAAAACACUAAACACAGUAAAGCCACCACAAUAUUUCACCUCAAAUAACCUGAAGACCUCUUUACAAAUCAAGUUUGACUUAAAUAAGGAAAAUUCUAGAAAAUUCAUACACUAAAAGAGUGAAACUACUUACCUCUAUACUUACCUUUUGGUUAAGGAGCUGGUUUCCUCCUCCACCAGCUCUCAAACCACUCCUCUCUCACCUCUGUGUACAGUCUUACCUCUCUCGCCCACUCUGGUUCAGGGAUAUCCCACAGUGGGCAAGGCUCAGCUGGCUGGAGAGGACCCAGUCUUGGAGGAGCACUGAGCGUCUGAGCUGCCUCUGGAGGGCCCUGUCCUCAAGCAGCAGUGGCACCCAGAGAUUUCAGAUGUCUUUUUGCAAAAUUAAGCCAGGCUUUGAUGUUUUUCUUUGUAAGAUAAGGCUUUCAUCGUGCCACCCGACCCCAUAGCCCAGACAUAUGAAGACAGCGCGAGAUUGUUGUCACGUACUACACAGCCAGUACUUGCCAGAAAUUCCUGCAGCUCGUUCAGUGUUGCUGUCGGCCUCUUGGUGGCCUCUCUGACCAGUUUUCUUCUUGUCUUAUAAUCAAUUUUGGACAGACAGCCUGUUCUUGGUAAUAUCACCGUUGUGCCAUAUUUUCUCCACUUGAUGAUGACGGUCUUUACUGUGUUCCAUAGUAUAUUUAAUUCCUUGGAAAUUCUUUUGUAGCCCUCACCUGACUGACAUCUUUGAAUAAUGAGAUCCCUCUGAUGCACUCUCUCUGUGGACCAUAUCUUGUGCUGGAAGUUGGGGCUACAAAAAUGUCAGGAAAAGCCUACUAGAACAGCUGAACUUUAUUUGGGGUUGAUCAGAGGCACUUUAAUUGGUGACAGGUGUGUGCUGACUCCAAUUUAACCUGAGUUUGAAUGUUAUUGGUUAAAUCCGAACACAGCCACAUCCCCAGUCAUUAAAGGGUGUGCACACUUAUGCAACCACAUGAUCUCAGUUGUUUAUUUUUACUUCACCUCCCUGAAAGAUUUCUGUUUGUUUUUCAAUUGUGUUGUACAGGUUAUAGGUCACAUUAAAGAUGGAAGAAGUUGUGACAUUAUUUAUCUUGAUUUAAUUAUUUUACAUGACAAAAACCAAGCAGUUGAACAAGAGUGUGUGGACUUUUUAUAUCCACUGUACUUGCCCAAUAAAGCUGAUCUUAAGAUUUUAAGAUAUGUGGCCGCUCGGAGUGGCUGCAUUAUCUCCGUUUAACCAACAGGUGUCAGUCAUGUGCUGUUAUUAAGACCUGCGACUGGAUGCAUCCACAGUGCAUGCAGGUAUUAAUAUAAAGUAAAUGAAAAAUAUAUAAAAAAGAAAACCUUCACGACAUCUGGGAAUAGUGAGUGUUGCUACUUUUUAUAACAGUGUUCAAUCAAUUUGUUCUUUCGCAGGUUUUUUUUUUUUAACUUAGAAGUUAAUUAUGUAACUCAACAACUUUAAAACAGUGGAUUAAAAUAGGAUACUCUGGUAACAAGUGUUUUUGAGGCCGAAUCUCUUUGGUUGGUUUCACCCUUGUGUUUUCUGGUAGCCUUAAUUACUUUUAUUAUCUGAUUAUCGGCUACAGUAGACUGUCCGAGCAUGUGACACCUCUCUGUGGAUGGAGAGUAUUUCUCUCCAGGACAGUUACCAAAGUUUCCUCCUCCGCAGUCAGUGAAAACCCUGACAGAGUGGGAAAAGCCACAGCACAGACAAUUGCUCCUCUGUAUUGACUGAGGGAUUUACAACCCAGACAAACACAUAACAAUUUAGUAAAGCUACCGUCUGUAAGUAUCUGCAGCUUUUAUCUAUUCAGUUUAAUGCAGAUAAACGUAAUAAAUGUAUGAGUUCAGAUAUCAGCUUUUCCACUUUUAUCCUGAAUGUCAAAUUAGACUGAGGAGUUUUAUAGAUUUCUGUAAAAUCAACUCAAUUUAAAACUGCGAAAAACACCGGAAAAAGAAUGAUGUUGAGUUCAAAAUAAAAGCUAGAAUCUUUAAACUACAUAGUUAUUUUAUGACAGACUUUACAUAAAGUUCAGUUUAUUGUGUGAAAAAUAAACGAAACAAUAAGAAAGCUGUUUUAUGUUAGACUUUUUUGAUUGAGUAAAUGUUUUAGUUAUUUUAUCCCAUCUAUUGAAUAUGAACUAUUCUGACGAAAUGAGCUAAAUGACUAUUAAUGCAUCAUCACGACCCACAAAAGCAA
Xyrichtys novacula (pearly razorfish) is the source of this 4839-nucleotide non-coding RNA. NCBI's taxonomy places the organism in Eukaryota, Metazoa, Chordata, Actinopteri, Labriformes, Labridae. The record is from the annotation of a GenBank genome assembly.